CAAGCGGUGGAGUAUGUGGUUUAAUUCGAUGCAACGCGAAGAACCUUACCUGGCCUUGACAUGUCCGGAAUUGCGCAGAGAUGUGUGAGUGCUUGAAAGAGAACCGUAACACAGGUGCUGCAUGGCUGUCGUCAGCUCGUGUCGUGAGAUGUUGGGUUAAGUCCCGCAACGAGCGCAACCCUUGUCAUUAAUUGCCAUCCUUAAGUUGGGCACUUUAAUGAGACUGCCGGUGACAAACCGGAGGAAGGCAGGGAUGACGUCAAGUCCUCAUGGCCCUUAUGGGUAGGGCUUCACACGUAAUACAAUGGUCGGUACAGAGGGUUGCCAACCCGCGAGGGGGAGCUAAUCCCAGAAAGCCGAUCGUAGUCCGGAUUGCAGUCUGCAACUCGACUGCAUGAAGUCGGAAUCGCUAGUAAUCGCGGAUCAGCAUGUCGCGGUGAAUACGUUCCCGGGCCUUGUACACACCGCCCGUCACACCAUGGGAGUGAGUUGCUCCAGAAGCCGUUAGUCUAACCGCAAGGGGGACGACGACCACGGAGUGGUUCAUGACUGGGGUGAAGUCGUAACAAGGUAGCCGUAUCGGAAGGUGCGGCUGGAUCACCUCCUUUCUAAUCGAAUUCCCGCGGC
Molecule: ribosomal RNA, 627 nt
Filed under: uncultured bacterium
Lineage: Bacteria
Description: bacterial SSU rRNA
Rfam family: Bacterial small subunit ribosomal RNA
Source: RNAcentral